ACCCAGAGGCUGUGGAGCCAGCAGUUGGUCUUGUUUCCUGAUUAACUUCCUUGUAAACUUGAACUUGAGACCUUGACUGACCCGGCAGGUCCCCAGUAGGAACAGGAGGAAGGCAGAGCUCUAAUGUGACCUGAAGUGAGCAGGCGGCACGAAGAGGCACCGUGUCUGGAGACUACUGCCUUCCUGUAACAGUCUGGCAGUGGCUAAAUCUGUAUUCACAUUUAAAUUGAGCAAUUUUAGGGUGUGAUACUCUGAGGCGGUUGAAUUGGGAGAAUGAAGAUAGAGUAAUUUCCCUGUCCAGGAUCAAAAGAAGCCUAGAGAGAAGCAGUAAUCUACCUCUGCCGAUAACCUGUUGGAAGCAACUCAGCAGAACGCCACGUUACUUUUUAUUGGUUAACUCCAUGUGGCUCACUAGGUCACUUUUUUUUUUCCCUGAGCAAAAGGAGGUUUUUUUUUUUAAUGUAAACUUUGACAACAGAAAGGCCCAAGCUCUGUGAGUGCAGUGGAGACUCGGAGAGCCCCGUUUCUAUAAACACAGACACUUGGGGUGUUAAUCAGGAAAUCCAUAUUUAUUUUGUAAUUAAAUGUCACGCCUGUGGAUUGUUUUGAACUUGGUAGUUCCUGAGAGUUUGCGUACAGAGGCCUCUUGAGCACAGCACUGUUGGGAGGGAUCAGCGUCUGCGGCUGCGGAGCCCAGGCCACACCACGUGGCUCAGGUCAUUCUUUUUUCUUUCUGUGCUGGUUGCCACAUUUUAGCAAGCACCAAAAAAGAAAGCAGUUUUUAAACCGAUAUUUACAUAAAGAAAACCACAGAAUCCAGUGCUUCUGCAUACUGUGUUAUGUUGCAGUCCAGUUUUGUGUGCUUUACUACACAGUUUGGUUACAGGACUUCUGUGCAUUGUAAACAUGAGCAGCAUGGAGAGGCUAAAUGCCUGUGUUCAGAUUGUAAGAUCUAGUCCGGACUUGCUGUGUAUAUUGUAACGUUAAAUGAAAAAAGACCCCCUUUGUAUUAUAGUCAUGCGGUCUUAUGUAUGAUAAACAGUUGAAUAAUUUGUCCUCAG
This 1061-nucleotide long non-coding RNA is filed under the name Rattus norvegicus (Norway rat). Its description in RNAcentral is "long non-coding RNA NONRATT006489". Lineage: Eukaryota; Metazoa; Chordata; Mammalia; Rodentia; Muridae. The record is from RNAcentral.